RNAcentral lists this ribosomal RNA (506 nucleotides) under uncultured bacterium. Its description in RNAcentral is "partial 16S ribosomal RNA". It matches the Rfam family "Bacterial small subunit ribosomal RNA", at positions 29 to 523 of the family's 1533-position model. The record is from RNAcentral.
AGUGAACGCUGGCGGUAGGCCUAACACUUGCAAGUCGAACGGCAGCACAGGAGAGCUUGCUCUCUGGGUGGCGAGUGGCGGACGGGUGAGGAAUACAUCGGAAUCUACUUUUUCGUGGGGGAUAACGUAGGGAAACUUACGCUAAUACCGCAUACGACCUACGGGUGAAAGCAGGGGAUCUUCGGACCUUGCGCGAUUGAAUGAGCCGAUGUCGGAUUAGCUAGUUGGCGGGGUAAAGGCACACCAAGGCGACGAUCCGUAGCUGGGAUGAGAGGAUGAUCAGCCAAACUGGAACGGAGACACGGUCCAGACUCCUACGGGAGGCAGCAGUGGGGAAUAUUGGACAAUGGGCGCAAGCCUGAUCCAGCCAUACCGCGUGGGUGAAGAAGGCCUUCGGGUUGUAAAGCCCUUUUGUUGGGAAAGAAAUCCAGCUGGUUAAUACCCGGUUGGGAUGACGGUACCCAAAGAAUAAGCACCGGCUAACUUCGUGCCAGCCGCCGCGGUAA